CACGUAGGCGGAUAUUUAAGUCAGGGGUGAAAUCCCAGAGCUCAACUCUGGAACUGCCUUUGAUACUGGGUAUCUUGAGUAUGGAAUAGGUAAGUGGAAUUCCGAGUGUAGAGGUGAAAUUCGUAGAUAUUCGGAGGAACACCAGUGGCGAAGGCGGCUUACUGGUCCAUUACUGACGCUGAGGUGCGAAAGCGUGGGGAGCAAACA
RNAcentral lists this ribosomal RNA (207 nucleotides) under uncultured bacterium. RNAcentral describes it as "partial 16S ribosomal RNA". It matches the Rfam family "Bacterial small subunit ribosomal RNA", at positions 568 to 774 of the family's 1533-position model. The record is from RNAcentral.